GAUGAACGCUGGCGGCGUGCCUAAUACAUGCAAGUCGAGCGAACAGACGAGGAGCUUGCUCCUCUGACGUUAGCGGCGGACGGGUGAGUAACACGUGGAUAACCUACCUAUAAUACUGGGAUAACUUCGUGAAACCGGAGCUAAUACCGGAUAAUAUAUUGAACCGCAUGGUUCAAUAGUGAAAGACGGUUUUGCUGUCACUUAUAGAUGGAUCCGCGCCGCAUUAGCUAGUUGGUAAGGUAACGGCUUACCAAGGCAACGAUGGGUAGCCGACCUGAGAGGGUGAUCGGCCACACUGGAACUGAGACGCGGUCCAGACUCCUACGGGAGGCAGCAGUAGGGAAUCUUCCGCAAAGGGGGAAAGCUUGACGGAGCAACGCCGCGUGAGUGAUGAAGGUCUUCGGAUCGUAAAACUCUGUUAUUAGGGAAGAACAAAUGUGUAAGUAACUAUGCACGUCUUGACGGUACCUAAUCAGAAAGCCACGGCUAACUACGUG
RNAcentral lists this ribosomal RNA (497 nucleotides) under uncultured bacterium. RNAcentral's name for it is "partial 16S ribosomal RNA". It matches the Rfam family "Bacterial small subunit ribosomal RNA", at positions 28 to 507 of the family's 1533-position model. The record is from RNAcentral.